CUAUGUAUUUUUCAAGAAAGAAAGGAUGGUUUCCUAUCAUUAUCCUGCAUGCUAUGGGUGUAGUCACACCUUCUUACAGCUUUCAAUAAAUUUGCAAAAGCAGCUUUUCCUUCUGGUCUUAGAAAAAUUACAUGUAGACAAUUUUGUUUGUUAGGGAACAGGCUCAGAUGAGAUCUGAAUCAAAUACACUCUAUAGUAAUUUGUAUAAUCUAAAACCUUGUUAUAUAAUCACAGUGAUACAACCACCAUGGUAUAAUCAGAGUAUAAUCUAAAAUCACACAGACGCUUCUUCACCCAAAGGACCAAAGAAACAAAGCCAUCUGUCUACGGAGACCAGUUAAACCUUGGCUUUCUUCUGAGGUCCAGAGUUGCUGAGUCCCAUGAAACUGUUGGUGGAGGUACCAAAGCCAGAGCUGCUAUAGUUUCUUCAUCAUUUGAAGAAGAAAGCCUUGAACAGAGGUAAACAGAAGAUAAACCUAUUCAGUGACUUGCCUGAGACGUUCCAUGUUGGGACCACUUCUCUACCUGAACGAGAAAGCUGAGGUGCAGAUGUCGUGCUUACUUUAUUACAGCUGUAAGCUCCUGCCAACUGCGGAAGCUUCAGUGUUUUUGAUUCCAUCCAUGAGUCCACAAGCCAAACAUACUCUGGCCAUAGCUCCAUUUCUUGCACUACAACACUAAUUGCAUUACUGUGGGACAAGUCAUUUUUAACACAAUGGUCAGGCAGAAAAUUAAUCAAUCUGAAUGAAUCUAGGAGUUAAUGACAUAGUUUUACUCCAUCACAUACUGAUCCAAAGAUUAAGGAAGCAAUGCCUUGCAUGGUAUAUGACUAGAAGGUUUCCAAGACAAAAUGUGAAUUGCUCACAAGAAUUUCUCAUAGUCAAAAAUAAGCAUAAGUCAAUGUCAAUUUUUGCCGAAAGGGCUGUUAUCUCAUUUCUCUGAAUGAUGUAAACUAGGUUGACAAAGAUCUGUCCAACUGUUGUCUGUCUGUAGCAGAGUCCUGCUUAUUCCAUGGAUGUUGCUGGUCCAGAGGUGCUGGCUAAACUGCGUUUUUAACAUAAUGACUGUGAUGGAAACUCUUUUGUGAGCUUAAUCCAUUAGUGUCAAACUGCAUGGACAAUGCCUAGUAGAAUGGGGCUCAGGUUUUUGAGUGGCCUAUAGGUUCCGCUGUGAAGCUCUGAGACUGAUUUUCUCGGUGUUAGGGAAGAUGGGGACAGGAUCCUCAGAAGCAUUCAAACUUCUUCACAUUCAGUGGUGCCUUUUUAGAGUUGGCAUCAUUUCAAAGUAAUGGUGUGAGUUACAUACUGAGUUCUUCUUGUGUAAUUGCUUUGGCUUCCAGUUAGAAAGCAAAAGAAGGAUUAAUUCUAACUCUAAAGAUGGAGUAACGCAAACACUUCUUUAACAGUGAAUACUGGCAAUCCUUUCUCUUAGUCAGCAAGCAAGUUAUUUCCCAUUAAAAUAACAUCUGCUUUGAACACAAUUUAUAAGCAGCACUACCUAGAUACUAGGAUACUAAUACCAUAUAAAGAAAAUGCCUGCCUGUAAGAGGAUACUUCUUGUUAAGUGUUGGUCAUUAGAGCCACAUUUUAAUACAUUGAGUUCUCAUAUGAGGAAAUGUGUGCGUAAUUCAUUAUAAUUUAUGGGAAAUAAGAUCACAGUAAAUUAACAGAUCUAAGCCCUGCUUUUGAUUGUGCUUUGAGACAAGGUAUGGCUCAAUAAUGGUGAAUUCACCUGAUGGGAAGUACUUUAAUUGUACUGUUACUGCUUCAAGAAUGAAUUACACCUGUAGUAUUUCAACCUACUAAGAAAAAGUUGUAGAAAUAAAAAGAAACUGUAGGAUAGGACUGAAUAAUAAAAUUGAGUAUUAUCUUCUUUCAUGUAUAGUAUCUAGGAUAUAACAGAAAAUACCUCACAAUUUUUGGGUGGCAAUGGAAAUCCAAAUGGAAUAAAAUAAAGAUUUCCUGUUGCUAUGUAGGUCCAUAGAUGAUUUUCUUUGUAAUUUAGAUGAAGAAUACUGUGGAUGCUUAUGUACAAUUUACAUCUCUGUGAGUCUGUUAAGCUAAGGUUCAUGCAGGUAUCUUCUGAACUCAAUCCUCUGAAAUAUUACAAGUAAAUAAAUGGG
Molecule: long non-coding RNA, 2122 nt
Organism: Numida meleagris (helmeted guineafowl)
Lineage: Eukaryota; Metazoa; Chordata; Aves; Galliformes; Numididae
Exons: 3
Source: RefSeq, a predicted model, not a curated record